GAUGAACGCUAGCUACAGGCUUAACACAUGCAAGUCGAGGGCAGCACAGUGUAGCAAUACACGGGUGGCGACCGGCGCACGGGUGCGUAACGCGUAUCCAACCUUCCCGAUACUCUUGGAUAGCCUUCCGAAAGGGAGAUUAAUACAAGAUGGUGUUUCAAUUCCGCAUGUUAUUGAAACUAAAGAUUUAUCGGUAUCGGAUGGGGAUGCGUGACAUUAGAUAGUAGGCGGGGUAACGGCCCACCUAGUCUACGAUGUCUAGGGGUUCUGAGAGGAAGGUCCCCCCACACUGGAACUGAGACACGGUCCAGACUCCUACGGGAGGCAGCAGUGAGGAAUAUUGGUCAAUGGUCGGAAGACUGAACCAGCCAAGUAGCGUGAAGGAUGAAGGUUCUAUGGAUUGUAAACUUCUUUUAUACGGGAAUAAAACCUCCCACGUGUGGGAGCUUGUAUGUACCGUAUGAAUAAGCAUCGGCUAACUCCGUG
RNAcentral lists this ribosomal RNA (486 nucleotides) under uncultured bacterium. Its description in RNAcentral is "bacterial SSU rRNA". It matches the Rfam family "Bacterial small subunit ribosomal RNA", at positions 28 to 507 of the family's 1533-position model. The record is from RNAcentral.